UACGUAGGGUGCGAGCGUUAUCCGGAAUCAUUGGGCGUAAAGAGCUCGUAGGCGGUUCAACAAGUCGGCUGUGAAAGUCCGGGGCUCAACCCCGGAAUUGCAGUCGAUACUGUUGUGACUUGAGUCCGGUAGAGGAGAAUGGAAUUCCCGGUGUAGCGGUGGAAUGCGCAGAUAUCGGGAGGAACACCAGUAGCGAAGGC
This 200-nucleotide ribosomal RNA is filed under the name uncultured bacterium. Its description in RNAcentral is "partial 16S ribosomal RNA". It matches the Rfam family "Bacterial small subunit ribosomal RNA", at positions 524 to 722 of the family's 1533-position model. The record is from RNAcentral.